UACAGAGGGUGCGAGCGUUAAUCGGAAUUACUGGGCGUAAAGCGCGCGUAGGCGGUUUUGUAAGUCGGGUGUGAAAUCCCCAAGCUUAACUUGGGAACUGCAUUCGAGACUGCAUAGCUAGAGUAUGGGAGAGGGAAGUGGAAUUUCAGGUGUAGCGGUGAAAUGCGUAGAUAUCUGAAGGAACAUCAGUGGCGAAAGCGACUUCCUGGACCAAUACUGACGCUCAUGUGCGAAAGCGUGGGUAGCAAACAGG
This 253-nucleotide ribosomal RNA is filed under the name uncultured bacterium. RNAcentral's name for it is "partial 16S ribosomal RNA". It matches the Rfam family "Bacterial small subunit ribosomal RNA", at positions 524 to 776 of the family's 1533-position model. The record is from RNAcentral.